Dreissena polymorpha is the source of this 2032-nucleotide long non-coding RNA. RefSeq lists it as uncharacterized. Lineage: Eukaryota; Metazoa; Mollusca; Bivalvia; Myida; Dreissenidae. The record is from RefSeq and is a predicted model, not a curated record. The transcript has 2 exons.
GGGAUAUUGAAUUGGAUGGAUGUGUAGUUCACCUAAUAAGCUGUCCGUGCAUUGGGAUUAGGGCAGGAACUCUAAAUGGGCUCCGAUACACCAUGGUCAACCGCUGAAGGUCACAUAUACAAGUCUGAAGUGUGGAUCGUCAUCACAGCCAUUGCUGUGAAUACAAAGAUAAGUGAUAUCAUUUUUAAAGGUCAAAGCUGACGUUAGACAGGUAUGCUUAAAGAGAUAAUUGUGAUGUGCGAUUGUUGUUGAAUUCCUUUUGUAAGCAUUACUGCUGUUGGUUUGCAGACAUACAACACUGUCCAUUCGACUUGAUUUAUAGAGCUAGGACGUUUUAACAUCGUUGACGCUCAAACUCGGGCAAGGCUCCUCAGUUUACAGCGAGGGACACACCUUUUUUGCCCGCAAGCGUAAACACACUGACGUGGGUCGAUGGUGCGUAAGCGAGUCCGAGUCAGCGUUAACAGUGUUAACACGCCUAAGCUCUGAAAAUCAAGUCUAAUCGAUAGCGUGUUCGUUCUGUUUUCUAACAGCAAUACUGUUUACCAAAGGCAGUAACUAAGGUCUUGCAUCAUUUUAUCUCUGUUUUCAUUGCAGCAGUAUAACGUUCAAUGGACGUAUCCUACUUUUCUAUAUAUGCUAAUACGUGUUUAUUUUAUUUAUCUGUUUACUUCUUUUAUUGGUUACUCAUGUAUGUUUUUGUUAAGCUGUACACUUGACAUAAUAUUGUUAUCGGCAGAAACAUGUAAAUAAUGUAAACACGUAAAGACCACAAAUAAUAUUGGGAGAACUUUAAAUCCUGCCCUUUUUCGUGUGAAUGGAUUCGAUAUAAAGCUGUGAUAUGUAUAUGUCAUUUAUACAUCAUUUAAAGGUAGUUGCAAUAAUCCAACUCCCAGCUAUUGACCCUCCGGGUAUGAGCUCCGGGUAUGAGCUGUACGUAUGUACUCAUAAAAGCUCAGAGCAUUCAAGAAGAACUACCUUUAAAGGGGCCUUUUCGCAGAUUUUGGCAUGUUUUGAAGUUUGUCAUUAAAUGCUUUGUAUUGAUAAAUGUAAACAUUAAAUUUUAAAAGCUCCAGUAAAAAAAUCAUAGAUAAAAUUUAAAAAAGGAAAAAAAAAGUAGCCCGCAGUAGGGCUCGAACCAGUGACCCCCGGAAUCCUGAAGUAAAAGCGCAUUAGCCAACUGAGCUAUCCUGCCAAGCAUGCAUAAUAUGCGUAUUUUAUACGUUAUAUAAGCAAUCUUCGUAGUUUCACAAAUUUAAACGACAACAACAGAACUCUCCAAAUUAUUCAAUCGUUUCGCGUCGCAACGCUUUAUAAUUUUUAGGUUUUUAAAUCGUCAAAAGAUGCAUAUAAUGGCUAUAUUAGACCAUGGCAAAUGUUCAGAAAUACUGUUUCCUCACAAAUAUCAUAACUAAACCGAAAAUUUGCGAAUCUGAAACAACUUUUUUUAAUUUUGUCAAUUUACCAAACCGUGAAAAGAUCCCUUUAAUGGGCAUAUUACCAGCAAAUGCAGUAUCAAGUUUUCAAAUGAUCUUUUAGUUGGCAUUUAUCUUAAGUAAUUGAUUAAAUCAUAUAUCUCGUUUUAUAUUUAUGAAAAACAUAUUUACUUUCAUAAUAGUUAAACUUCGUUCACCCUGACACUUUGUGGCAGUGGGAAAUAUAUUGUUGGUAUUGUUCAUGUAUUAAGUAGAGAGAAUACAUUAAUGGUUUUGCGCGUAAAAUGCACGCGUUUCUAGUUUUUGCAUGUAUAUAUACAUAUGAGGUGUAAAUAGAUUGAUCUGUUUUUCAAUGUGUGCAUUCGGUAGGGGUUACAUAUGGAAAAGGAAGAAAAAGCGCUAAUUGUUGAUUUCAAUAAAGUAGCGUUUAAUUUAUUUUAGGUCAGUUUUCAGUUCGUGUCAGAUGGGACCCUUACACGAUCCGGUUCCACUGCUCAAGAAGUAUGGCGCAACGUUUACGGAUGCCAUGAAGAUUCCUAAAUUUAGCCGUUCCGUGUAGGCUGAACAUCGUUGCAUAUUAAAGAAAUUGUAGCGAC